RNAcentral lists this ribosomal RNA (433 nucleotides) under uncultured bacterium. Its description in RNAcentral is "partial 16S ribosomal RNA". It matches the Rfam family "Bacterial small subunit ribosomal RNA", at positions 29 to 507 of the family's 1533-position model. The record is from RNAcentral.
AACGAACGCUGGCGGCAUGCCUAACACAUGCAAGUCGAACGAGACCUUCGGGUCUAGUGGCGCACGGGUUCGUAACGCGUGGGAACCUGCCCUUAGGUUCGGAAUAACUCCCCGAAAGGUGUGCUAAUACCGGAUAAUGUCUUCGGACCAAAGAUUUAUCGCCUUUGGAUGGGCCCGCGUUGGAUUAGCUUGUUGGUAGGGUAAAAGCCUACGAAGGCGACGAUCGAUAGCUGGUCUGAGAGGAUGAUCAGCCACACUGGGACUGAGACACGGCCCAGACUGCUACGGGAGGCAGCAGAGGGGAAUAUUGGAAAAUGGGGGAAAGGAUGAUCAAGCAAUGAGGGGAGAGUGAUGAAGGGCGUAGGGUUGUAAAGCUCAUUUACCCGGGAUGAUAAUGACAGUACCGGGAGAAUAAGCACCGGCUAACUCCGUG